RNAcentral lists this small nuclear RNA (151 nucleotides) under Zalophus californianus (California sea lion). RNAcentral's name for it is "U4 spliceosomal RNA (ENSZCAG00015009178.1)". The stretch from base 1 to 116 matches the Rfam family "U4 spliceosomal RNA". From Rfam's summary of the family: U4 small nuclear RNA (U4 snRNA) is a component of the major U2-dependent spliceosome. The structure of U4 snRNA from yeast and human has been reported. Lineage: Eukaryota; Metazoa; Chordata; Mammalia; Carnivora; Otariidae. The record is from RNAcentral.
AGCUUUGCACAGUGGCAGUAUCGUAGCCAAUGAGGUUUAUCCAAGGUGCGAUUAUUGCUAAUUAAAAAUAAAUGGGUGCUGAAUUUUGUCAGCUGUUUUUGCCAUCUAUUUCAAGGACCCAUGGUUUUCCUCCUUUAUUUUCCUAAUAUAG